GGGGAUUUAGCUCAGUGGUAGAACACUUGCCUAGCAAGCACAAGGCCCUGGGUUCGGUUCCCAGCUCCG
Molecule: transfer RNA, 69 nt
Filed under: Rattus norvegicus (Norway rat)
Lineage: Eukaryota; Metazoa; Chordata; Mammalia; Rodentia; Muridae
Rfam family: tRNA
About the family: Transfer RNA (tRNA) molecules are approximately 80 nucleotides in length. Their secondary structure includes four short double-helical elements and three loops (D, anti-codon, and T loops). Further hydrogen bonds mediate the characteristic L-shaped molecular structure. tRNAs have two regions of fundamental functional importance: the anti-codon, which is responsible for specific mRNA codon recognition, and the 3' end, to which the tRNAs corresponding amino acid is attached (by aminoacyl-tRNA synthetases). tRNAs cope with the degeneracy of the genetic code in two manners: having more than one tRNA (with a specific anti-codon) for a particular amino acid; and 'wobble' base-pairing, i.e. permitting non-standard base-pairing at the 3rd anti-codon position.
Source: Rfam by way of RNAcentral